Molecule: long non-coding RNA, 1178 nt
Organism: Astatotilapia calliptera (eastern happy)
Lineage: Eukaryota; Metazoa; Chordata; Actinopteri; Cichliformes; Cichlidae
Source: Ensembl
CUUGAACUCGACUAUUUUGCAGGGCAAUUUUUAGACUCCAUGGAGCAAUCCAGUACUGUCUGAUGUUUCUUCAAGAAAAUUCUGGUCUGCUGAGAGUUUCCAUUAAAAAAGGAGAACUCAGUUCAGGAGGAAGGUCUGUGACAGACACGAGCUGGAGCCAUCUGUAUUUGAAACGGUGACAAAAUAUUUGAAAUCACAGUGAGUCUUUUUAAACAUGACAGCACUGCAAUAAAUGCAGACUAAAUUCAUUUCAGGUUCAUGAAACUGGCCUUUCUUCAUUUUAGCCCUUCUCACAGGUCUUUGUUGCUGUGCAGUCUUCACCUAACAUGGGCAAUAAAUCACAGAGCUGAUUGUGAUGGAGAUGCGACCAGCACAGUGAACAUUAACUGAGGCUUUAAUACCUGUUUCAUUUCCAUCUUGAGCUCUGACUCUUGUCAUAUUUGAGUUUUAGUAGCUGUUUAGUGUUUUAUGGAGUUCUCUCAGUGGUUUCAUACUUCCUCCCUUCAGUUUUUUUUUUAUUUUUAUUUUUUAUCAUUUUCUCAUUUCCUGUUUUACUUUGAAAGUUAGUUGACUCUCGGGCCUUGCUGUGAGUUUACUUACCCCCUCCUUGUCCUGGUGUGCAUUUGGGUUUGUUCUUAAACUGAAUCAUAUAAAACACAGAUCCCAUUCAGGAACACUGUAAUCCAAGUUAUUUUGUAGCGUUGCAUGCAGGUCAUUGGAAGUUAUGGAAGCAAAAGAAAAAGCUAGACAAAAUAUGGUAUCACAUGUCCACAUGUGCUCAGACUGGAUCCUGGACUUCCUUAAACUAUGAAAUUAGAGAAGAAAGGAACAAAAACUGUGAUUAAGAUAUAAUGCUCUUGGUAAACGUGAUCGAAUUAAGUAAGAAUAGUCUAAAUCGUGAAUGUGUGUACACAUUUUAUAUUAUAUAUUUCAUAUUAUAUAUUACAUUUACAGGGAGUGCAGAAUUAUUAGGCAAAUGAGUAUUUUGUCCACAUCAUCCUCUUCAUGCAUGUUGUCUUACUCCAAGCUGUAUAGGCUCGAAAGCCUACUACCAAUUAAGCAUAUUAGGUGAUGUGCAUCUCUGUAAUGAUGAGAAGGGGUGUGGUCUAAUGACAUCAACACCCUAUAUCAGGUGUGCAUAAUUAUUAGGCAACGUCCUUUCCUUUGGCAAAAUGGGU